CCGCAGCUAACGCAUUAAGUGCCCCGCCUGGGGAGUACGGCCGCAAGGCUAAAACUCAAAGGAAUUGACGGGGGCCCGCACAAGCGGCGGAGCAUGCGGAUUAAUUCGAUGCAACGCGAAGAACCUUACCAAGGCUUGACAUGUUCUCGAUCGCCGUAGAGAUACGGUUUCCCCUUUGGGGCGGGUUCACAGGUGGUGCAUGGUUGUCGUCAGCUCGUGUCGUGAGAUGUUGGGUUAAGUCCCGCAACGAGCGCAACCCUCGUUCCAUGUUGCCAGCACGUCGUGGUGGGGACUCAUGGGAGACUGCCGGGGUCAACUCGGAGGAAGGUGAGGACGACGUCAAAUCAUCAUGCCCCUUAUGUCUUGGGCUUCACGCAUGCUACAAUGGCCGGUACAAUGGGUUGCGAUACUGUGAGGUGGAGCUAAUCCCAAAAANCCGGU
RNAcentral lists this ribosomal RNA (441 nucleotides) under Micrococcus luteus. RNAcentral describes it as "bacterial SSU rRNA". It matches the Rfam family "Bacterial small subunit ribosomal RNA", at positions 846 to 1286 of the family's 1533-position model. Lineage: Bacteria; Bacillati; Actinomycetota; Actinomycetes; Micrococcales; Micrococcaceae. The record is from RNAcentral.